AUAAAUUAAAGUCAGGUAAGUGCUACCUUAAAUGUAAGAUAUUGUGAUAGACUUAACUUUAACUUGCACCAAUUUUGAAAGUGAUUUGUGUUUUGCAAAAAAAACCUAGAAAGUUCUGUGUGCAUUAGCCGAAAGUGGCAAGCUGAAAUGCUUUGUAACAAUUAGAAACAAAACAAAAAUAAAUAUAUAUAUAUAUGUAUAUUUACAGAUCCAGAAAGUGACCAAAAUAAUAAUUUAUCGAAAUGCCUGAAGCUGAUUAUUUCAGAUAGUCUGGUUAUCGACUACAAUCUGGACUGAAGCAGCGGCAAAAAAUCUUUAAAAGCACGCAAAGGGCUAUAUGCGGUGCUUAAUGGAGCGUUGACCCACCAAUCCGAAGACCCGAUAAGAAAUGUAAAUGAAUACAAUGAAAUAAAUAAAAUUAAAUAAAUGAAUAGAAAAUAC
Non-coding RNA from Drosophila takahashii, 441 nucleotides. The record is from RefSeq and is a predicted model, not a curated record. NCBI's taxonomy places the organism in Eukaryota, Metazoa, Arthropoda, Insecta, Diptera, Drosophilidae.